UUGAACGCUGGCGGUAGGCUUAACACAUGCAAGUCGUGCGAGAAAGUAUCUUCGGAUAUGAGUAUAGCGGCGGACGGGUGAGUAACGCGUAGGAAUCUACCUAGUAGAAGGGGAUAGCCCGAGGAAACUCGGAUUAAUACCGUAUACCUCCUUUGGGAGAAAGAGGGCCUCUCUUGAUGCUCUCGCUAUUAGAUGAGCCUGCGUAAGAUUAGCUUGUUGGUGAGGUAAUGGCUCACCAAGGCUGCGAUCUUUAGCUGGUCUGAGAGGACGAUCAGCCACAUUGGGACUGAGACACGGCCCAGACUCCUACGGGAGGCAGCAGUGGGGAAUAUUGGACAAUGGGCGCAAGCCUGAUCCAGCCAUACCGCGUGUGUGAAGAAGGCCCUAGGGUUGUAAAGCACUUUAAGCAGGGAGAAAAAGCUAUAAGUUAAUACCUUAUAGCCCUGAUGUUACCUGCAGAAUAAGCACCGGCUAAUUCCG
Molecule: ribosomal RNA, 480 nt
Filed under: uncultured Pseudomonadota bacterium
Lineage: Bacteria; Pseudomonadati; Pseudomonadota
Description: bacterial SSU rRNA
Rfam family: Bacterial small subunit ribosomal RNA
Source: RNAcentral